Molecule: long non-coding RNA, 394 nt
Organism: Lycium ferocissimum
Lineage: Eukaryota; Viridiplantae; Streptophyta; Magnoliopsida; Solanales; Solanaceae
Exons: 2
Source: RefSeq, a predicted model, not a curated record
UUGGGAAGAAUUUAGUGUAUUUUAAGGUGAAUCAGGUGGAGAGCCAUUGGAAAGAUCCUCCCUGGAAAUCAUUGUGGUAUGCGACCACGACUUGCAAACUCCAUGAAGAUGGUAGGUUUUCUUGGCUCAUGCUUCUUCUUGGGCUUUCCAAAUCCAUGACGGGAUCGAAUUUGAGGACAAAUUCUUUUCAAGAGGGGGAGAAUGAUGUAGUCCAUAUAGCCAUGAUGAUGAUCCAACUGUGCCAUAAUGAUGUGGUUGAGGUUGAUGCUGCGGUCGAGGUUGAUAUUAAUGUUGUAAUUUCGAGGAUGAAAUUCUUCCAAGAAAGGGAGGAUGAUGCAAUCCAAAUUACCAUGGUGACGACUCAAGUGUUCAAGCCGAGGAGACCCAAAUUGAA